CGGCGGAAAUUGCAACAGAUGGCGCUAGUGAGCAGGAGUUUUUCACCUUUUAAAUAUAUGAAGAAAGUUACAAAAAAUGGAUUUUUGACUUAAUAAACGUUUUAUCAGAAAAAAUAUUUGGUACAGGUUGUAGGUAAUUAUGAUAGCUAUCUACGUUACCAAAUAUUUUUUACCAAAAUUUCGAAAUAUUUGAAAUAAUUGACAAAAUGUUCAAAUCUUCAUACAUUUUUUCGGUUGAAAACUUCUGCCUCGAUUCUGUUGAUCUUCAUUUGCCUAUACAUGGGCAUCAUGAAUAUACAUGGAUUCAUGUUUAUCCAUCUGUCAAAUGAAAACAAAACAAAGUUUUUCCCAAAGCAAACGUGAACGUGGGUCGACAAAAAAAAGGAAAGGUAAACAUUUGAAACAAUAAUCAGUACAAAUUUAUGUAAUAAUUUGUAAUUUAAAUCUGUAUUCCAGUGAAAAAGGGUGCGGAAAGUGUUAAACGGUGCGUUCCGGAACACUACGUCCUCCACCAGGCAACACAAUCAUCGUCGACUGUGGGAAAUGUUCGGUGGCAGUGCGACGAAGCUCUCGCUGGAACUUCAGGAGGAGUUGCAGUAUAAAUGUUUACGUCUGGAGUGUUCCUGGGCCGUUUAUGGCAUCCACCCGUCCGGUGUCCAAGAAUACCCUCUGCGCAACCCAUUCGAUCUACGGUCGGUACACUUCCGCCGAUGGAUGCGAUUCCCGUGAGUCGAUCGAGAGGAAUGGUGGACUAAGACGGGCGAGAAGCCAAUCUACGUACAUCAGCGUCGAGAUCAGCGUCGAUAGAAUCGUGCAAGGGUUUGGUUCGGUGGAGCCGGAUCGGAACGGAAGAAACCAACAACAGCAAUAAGUUUCUUCUGGCAGUCAUGGCUGCUCAAUAUUUUGCAACCCAGUUAUCACAUGGCGAACAGCAUUGUAGACACCUCCGUUCUGGUCACCAUCAGCAAAAGAGGCAGUAAUGUUAUUUCACUGUUUUAGUUUUUAUUUGCGUAUUAGUAAUAAAAAGCGGGGCGGGGGGUUUGUUGGUUGGCUCUAUAAAAUAUCCGAAAAAACAAGGGUAGAUUCACCAUCUUUUCCUAAGUUAAAACUUGCAAAUGGUAAGUGGUUUUUACAUUCAAGUUAAAGUCAAUAGUGCCAGCGUUAUUUUAAAAUUUGUCCCAAAAUUCAAAAAUAGUUCAAAAGUGAUUUUGAUCCAAGUUUUAUUCCCAAGCUGCGGGGUGACACAUUUCAUAUCUAUUUUGUGAAUCAUAUUCGUUUUCCUAAAAGUUUGAAAUACUUUGAUUAUUGCGUUUAAUUAUUCAAGUUCCCCAAUUCCACCAAAGUUGCGAGGUGACUCAUAUCUUUUUAUUUCUUCUCAAAAGUUUGAAAUUCUUUGAGAGAUUCUUGAAUUUAAUCAUAAAUGAUCGAAACUGGUUCACCCAGUUUUCCUAAGUUGCGAGGUGACGCAUAUCGAGAACAUUUUGUUCUCAUAAGUUUAAAAUACUUCGAGAUUCUUGAAAUAAAUCAUUAAUGAUCGAAACUGGUUCACCAAGUUCUCCUAAGUUGCGA
Molecule: long non-coding RNA, 1569 nt
Organism: Aedes albopictus (Asian tiger mosquito)
Lineage: Eukaryota; Metazoa; Arthropoda; Insecta; Diptera; Culicidae
Exons: 3
Source: RefSeq, a predicted model, not a curated record